AAAGCUUAUAUUAUAAUUAUUUUCUAAAAAAAAACGUUUAGUGUAUUUUGAAUUAGGGGCACUCUUUUUAAUUUAAUUUCAGAGUUGUAUUCUUUAUAUUUUAAUUAGAAAUUUCUAUUUGUCUUACCUGUAUACAAUUUAUUACAGUUACUCUAAAGUUUAUAUAUACCUGUAUUUUCAAAAGAAGUGGGAUUUUUUGUGAAGUUUUUAGUUCUAUUUUUUGUAUGCUUGAUUAAAUUAUUAUUAAUCUUAAAAGAUUUUUAUAUUAUUUUUAUUAUUGUUUAGAAUUUUAGCUAAUUUGUUCAACAUAUUAUUUUGAGUUUUCAUACAACAAUAGUUAACAUUAUUUGGUGAGAUGUUUAAUUUUUUCUUU
Cinara cedri is the source of this 373-nucleotide non-coding RNA. Lineage: Eukaryota; Metazoa; Arthropoda; Insecta; Hemiptera; Aphididae. The record is from the annotation of a GenBank genome assembly.